RNAcentral lists this ribosomal RNA (492 nucleotides) under uncultured bacterium. Its description in RNAcentral is "partial 16S ribosomal RNA". It matches the Rfam family "Bacterial small subunit ribosomal RNA", at positions 29 to 507 of the family's 1533-position model. The record is from RNAcentral.
AUUGAACGCUGGCGGCAUGCUUUACACAUGCAAGUCGAACGGUAACAGGCCUUCGGGUGCUGACGAGUGGCGAACGGGUGAGUAAUGCAUCGGAACGUACCCAGAGGUGGGGGAUAACGCAGCGAAAGCUGUGCUAAUACCGCAUGUGAUCUGAGGAUGAAAGCGGGGGACCGAGCAGCAAUGUUUGGCCUCGCGCCUUUGGAGCGGCCGAUGUCGGAUUAGCUAGUUGGUGGGGUAAAGGCCUACCAAGGCGACGAUCCGUAGCUGGUCUGAGAGGACGACCGGCCACACUGGGACUGAGACACGGCCCAGACUCCUACGGGAGGCAGCAGUGGGGAAUUUUGGACAAUGGGCGCAAGCCUGAUCCAGCAAUGCCGCGUGCGGGAAGAAGGCCUUCGGGUUGUAAACCGCUUUUGGCAGGAACGAAACGGUGUCCGCUAAUACCGGGCGCUAAUGACGGUACCUGCAGAAUAAGCACCGGCUAACUACGUG